RNAcentral lists this ribosomal RNA (301 nucleotides) under uncultured bacterium. Its description in RNAcentral is "partial 16S ribosomal RNA". It matches the Rfam family "Bacterial small subunit ribosomal RNA", at positions 509 to 807 of the family's 1533-position model. The record is from RNAcentral.
CAGUAGCCGCGGGAAUACGUAGGUGGCAAGCGUUGUCCGGAAUUAUUGGGCGCAAAGGGCUCGCAGGCGGUUUCUUAAGUCUGAUGUGAAAGCCCCCGGCUCAACCGGGGAGGGCCAUUGGAAACUGGGAAACUUGAGUGCAGAAGAGGAGAGUGGAAUUCCACGUGUAGCGGUGAAAUGCGUAGAGAUGUGGAGGAACACCAGUGGCGAAGGCGACUCUCUGGUCUGUAACUGACGCUGAGGAGCGAAAGCGUGGGGAGCGAACAGGAUUAGAUACCCCUGUAGUCCCUGUCUCUUAUAC